GAAAUGCGAUAAGUAGUGUGAAUUGCAGAAUUCAGUGAAUCAUCGAAUCUUUGAACGCACAUUGCGCCCUUUGGUAUUCCAAAGGGCAUGCCUGUUCGAGCGUCAUUUGUACCCUCAAGCUUUGCUUGGUGUUGGGCGUCUUGUCUCUAGCUUUGCUGGAGACUCGCCUUAAAGUAAUUGGCAGCCGGCCUACUGGUUUCGGAGCGCAGCACAAGUCGCACUCUCUAUCAGCAAAGGUCUAGCAUCCAUUAACCCUUUUUUCAACUUUUGACCUCGGAUCAGGUAGGGAUACCCGCUGAACUUAAGC
RNAcentral lists this unclassified non-coding RNA (307 nucleotides) under plant metagenome. Its description in RNAcentral is "partial contains 5.8S ribosomal RNA, internal transcribed spacer 2, and large subunit ribosomal RNA". The stretch from base 1 to 105 matches the Rfam family "5.8S ribosomal RNA", at positions 50 to 154 of the family's 154-position model. The record is from RNAcentral.